ACUGCAGCUGGCGCUCCGCCGGACUGGACGCAGAGCUAAAUCCCGCGCGGCUCCCCGGCUUUCCUGGAGGAGUCUCGCCGAGUGUGCACGCCGCGAAGCUCACCCGUUCCUAGUGCACGACCCUGUGCUGCUGCGUGUGUGUGUGUGUGUGUGUGUGAGAGAGAGAGAGAGAGAAACGGAAUCUCACGCAGUCCCACAGGCUGGAGUGCAGUAGCGCGAUCUCGGCUCACUGCAACCUCCGUCUCCCAGGUUCAAGCGAUUCUCCAGCCUCAGACUCCCCAGUUGCUGUGACUACAGACGCGCGCCACCCGCGUCCAGCUAAUUUUUUUGUAUUUUUAAUAGAGACGGGGUUUCACCAUGUUGGCCAGGCUGGUCUCAAAACUCCAGAGCUCAGGUGAUCCGCCUGCCUCGGCCUCCGCAGUGCUGGGAUUACAGGCGUGAACCACUGCGCCCGGCCCUGCUGCUGGUUUUUUAUGGAUAGGGUUUCCCUCUGUGGCCCAGGGAGGAGUGCAGUAGCACGAGCUCGGCUCGCUGCAACCUUGACCUCCUGAGCUCAAGCGAUCCUCCCACCUCAGCCUCUGGAGGAGCUGGGAUUACAGACGCGCGCCAUCACACCCGGCUAAUUUGUUUUUAAAAUGUUUAUAGAGAAGGGGUUUCAUCAUGUUGGCCAGGCUGGUCUCGAACUCCUGAACUCAAGCAAUCCUCCCGCCUUGGCCUCCCAAAGCGCUAGGAUUACAGGCGUGAUCCGCCGCCCGGAGGGAUCCUAGGCUUCUUCGUGAAGUUGGAGUGUGCAGCCAGCAUCCCAAUCCAGUUUUCAAACAUUUCCCACCGACCUCGCAAGACUCCUCCUGCUCAGUUGCAGUCUCCCCUUCCCGCCCGGCCUGGCCACCACAGGACAAUUUUGUCUCGCUAAAUUUGCCACCUCCAGGCUUGUCCUGUCGAUGGAAUCACACAGCACCCAGUGUGUGUUCCCCACACUGACCGGGAAGCAGUGGCCCCCCGCCCCAGGCCGCAACCUCACCGCUGUCCCAGUCGAGUCUCUGCUUACAUAUCCCCUUCCUUGAGACUGUCCCUGGAGUCACAUCCUUGUUCUAUUUCCUUCACUGCACCUGCCACCAUCUGAAAUUAUCUUGUCUGUGUGUUAGUGCCAGUCUUCCCUGCUAGAAUGGAAGCUCCACCAAGGUGGGGACAUUGUUUCUGCCACUGUGGUAUCUCCAAGCCCCAGCACAUAGUAGCCACUCAAUAAAUAGUUCAUGAAUGCAUACAUAAAUGUAUAAACUUAAAAAAGUUAAAACCAUAGACACUCCAGACCCCAUUCUGCCAAACUGAGUUUUUUCCUUCUUUUAAGUACAAAAGGCGUCCUCACAAAGCCCACAAAAUCAAGCUAAAUUACCUGUCAUUUGGAAGUUUUAAAUUUAUUUUCCAUAAAUACCUGAAAUCCAAAGCUAGUUACACUAGGCUGGGUGCCCUGGCUCACUCCUGUAAUCCCUGCACUUUGGGAGGCUGAGGCAGGUGGAUCACUUGAGGUCAGGAGUUUGAGACCAGCCUGGCCAACAUGGCAAAACCCCGUCUCUACUAAAAAAAUAUAAAAAUUAGCUAGGCGUGGUGGUGGGCACCUGUAGUCCCAGCUACUCGGGAGGCUGAGGCAAGAGAAUCGCUUGAACCUGGGAGGUGGAGCUUGCAGUGAGCUGAAAUGGCAUCCCUGGACUCUAGCCUGGGCAACAGAGUGACACUCUGUUUCAAAAGAAACAACAACAACAAAAAGAUACAGUAAGAACUGUGAAGGUGAAUUCAAAGGCUGAAGUUCAGACAAUAAUUGACUCAGACCCCAGCUCCGUCAGUCCAGUACUGACCCAGAUUCCUGAGUCAGCCCUAGAGGGGUCGGGUGAAGGCCCAACACCACCACAGUACAGAUGCUGAAAUUCACGGUAUUUCCAUCAUGCAGAAACUUAGGACCUCUGCAGUGACUAGCUCAUCCCCCUAUUUGAAAGUGGACUCAGGCCGGGCGCAGUGGCUCAUGCCUGUAAUCCCAGCACUUUGGGAGGCCGAGGCGGGUGGAUCACGAGGUCAGGAGAUCGAGACCAUCCUGGCUAACACAGUGAAACUCCGUCUCUACUAAAAAUACGAAAAAUUAGCUGGGCAUGGUGGUGGGUGCCUGUAGUCCCAGCUACUCAGGAGGCUGAGGCAGGAGAAUGGCGUGAACUCGGGAGGCGGAGCUUGCAGUGAGCAAAGAUCACGCCACUGCUCUCCAGCCUGGGCAAUAGAGCAAGACUCCGUCUCAAAAAAAAAAAGAAAAAAGAAAAUGGACUUAAGACUGGAGGAAAAUUUGAAAUUGCCCCUGGGCAGGAACUCUGCAGCGAAGAUGAAACAGCACAUUUUAUGUGGUGCUGGGUAUCAGCAGGCACUAGGAAUUCGAUCAAAAAGUAUAAAAGGGAAAAUAAUUAUUUUUCAAAAUUAGGCUUAAAUAACAUAGAAAAUCCAUCUGAAACAACUAAGUUACCUGGCACACAAAGAAAACUUACAGGUGAUGUGCCAUGUGGCCACUGUAGGACCGUGGCUAAAAACAUCUAUUCCAGGGCUGGGCACAGCAGCUCAUACCUAUAAUCCCAGCACUUUGGGAGGCUAAGGCAGGUAGAUCACUUGAGCCUAAGAGUUCGAGACCAGCCUGGGUAACAUAGGGAGACCCCCUUCUCUACAAAAAAAAAAAAUACAAAAACUAGCCAGGUACAAGCCUGUGGUCCCAGCUACUUGGGAGGCUAAGGUGGGAGGAUCACUUGAGCUCAGGAGGUCGAGGCUGCAGUGAGCCGUAAUUGUGCCACUGCUCUCCAGCUCUCCAGCCUGGGUAACAGAGUAAGACCGAGUCUCAAAAAAAAAAAAAAAAAAAAAAUCCAUUCUCCCCACUGAGUGGGGUUGACUGUUCCCAUGUGACGGCCCAUGGGAGAAAUUUGUCAAGACUCAGCUAGGAAAAACUGUCCUUCAUUGAUAACCAGUUAAUUUUUAAUGAAUAGAUUUCAUAAUUCCUGUAUUAAUGAAUAGAUUUCAUAAUUCCUAUAGCUAAUCAUACUUGGGUUUUUGUAAACUGGGGUCUUGGUUGGGCAUAGUGGCUCCUGCUGGUAAUCCCAGCACUUUGGGAGGCUUAGGUGGUAGGAUCGCUAAAGCCAGGAGUUUGAGACCAGGCUGGGCAACAUAGCGAGACCCCCAUCUACUAAAAAAAAAAAAAAAAAAAAAAAAAAAAAAAAUAGCCAGGCGUGGUAGCUGUGUGCCACCUGUAGUCCCAGCUACUUGGGGGAGAAUCGCUUGAUCCCAGGUGUCUGAGUUUACAGUGAGCUAUAAUCGUGCCACUGCACUCCAGCCUGGGCAACAGAGGGAGAACCUGUCUCCAAAAAACAAAUAAAUAAAUAAUGAAUUAGGGGCCUGCUUCUGCUAAAGGCAACCUCUGGCAUGUAUUUUAGGGCUUACAUGUGCCCCUGGUUUUGUUUUACUUUUCUCUUAUUAUUUUCCUCCCGCAGCCCCCAUAUCUUUCCCCAUCAGUGAUUUUGUGUUUUUGUAUUACAUGCAUUUUUAAGGAUUUCUUAAUCCUUUCUACGGAAUAUGGGAAACAUCAAUCAACACGAAUGUAUUAAAAACUAAAGAAAAGACUGAUUCUCUCUGGUAUAAAUAAAACUCCUAUGACUUUAACUAAUUUGUGAUAAGCUAAAAUUUCUAACAUUUUUGAGUUCUUCUCAUGCAUUUUACUCAGUUCAGGCCAGCGAUGAGAAUAUUCAUUCUGCAUUGGAUAGCUACAUAUAUGAAUUAAAGUCACAGGGCACUUAAUAAAAAUUUUCUACAAAAAUAAGACAUUUCAUUUAUUAAAAUUUUAUAGAGAAGCAUACAAGACUACAACAAAUCACUGAAGUCAAGGUCUAAAGUCUUUGAGAAGUCAGAUGGACCGGACGCAGUGGCUCACGUCUGUGAUCCCAGCACUUUGGGAGGCCGAGAUCACUUCAGCCUGGGCAACAAGAGCAAAACUCCAUCUCAAAAAAAUAAAAGCCAGGUGGUUGUCUAACUAUAGGCUUUGCAUAUUCUGGUCCAGGGGUUGCUGAGGAACAAGGCCAAUGUGAGGAACAACAGCAACAGUAAGCCCUUAGCAACACACUGAGAAUGCAGCUCCCCUGAAAAACAAUGGACAAAAUUCAACAGCAGUAUUUCUUAACUCUUUUGAUAACAGUGUAGGUAUAGGCUGGGUGUGGUGGCUCACUCCUGUAAUCCUAACACUUUGGGAGGCCAAGGAGGGCGGAUCACUUGAGGCCAGUUCGAGACCAGCCUGGCCAGCACAGUGAAACCCCGUCUCUACUAAAAAUACAAAAAUAGCCAGGCAUAUUGGUGCUGUAAUCCCAGCUACUCCAAAGGCUGAGGCACGAGAGUUGUCUGAACCCAGGAGGCAAUGGUUGCAGUGAGCUGAGAUUGUGCCACUGCACUCCAGCCAGGGUGUCAGAGCAAGACUCUCUAAAAAAAAAAACAGUGUAGGUAGAAAUAAACUAAGCCAAAACAGUAAUGGUGAUCACUUCCAAGUGGCAAUAUUAUCCGUACUUUUUUUUAAGUUUCUAUAUGUUUUAUGCUUUCUGUAACAUUU
This 4612-nucleotide long non-coding RNA is filed under the name Homo sapiens (human). RNAcentral describes it as "non-protein coding lnc-EIF2B1-3:2". Lineage: Eukaryota; Metazoa; Chordata; Mammalia; Primates; Hominidae. The record is from RNAcentral.